GUAAGAACCUGGGCUCGCCAGCCCUAACGGUAUGAACCCAGGUUCCAGGUUUAUGCUUCCAAGGAUUCCAGAACUCUUCGCAGCUCUCCACCCGGGAAGCGGCCAGACUGCUUCCCCCAUCCCUAGCCUGUCCGCCUGUCUGUCCAUUCACCUUGUGUAGCCCUCUGAGGCUCUGCUCACCUGUCCACCUAUAGGUUGUCUCUUUGCCUGAAGACUCUGCUCUUACCUGGAAGUCUGUGCCAAGGGACUGUUCUGGAAGGAUGAUGUCACUCAAGAUAUGAAGACCUAGAAGAUAGAGCACAUGCCCAGGCUCCAUGCCUCAGGGACCAGCAUGAGGGAUGGGUAGACAGCCUUUUCCACCAAAACCACCACGCCCAGGGACAAGUGCAAAGAGGAACUCUGUUGUUCCCUAAGAGCCCAGUGACCAAGGUGAACAGGGAACAAUGCUUGAACUCUGAAAUGGUUUCAGAGGUCCCGAACCAAGAGAUGACCAACCAUGGCAAGGCCCCACUGCAGAGUACCUUUGAGCCAUUCCCUAGUCUGAGUCACAAGUCACAACCUUGCAGCUGAUUGAGUCCUCAGGGGAAGCCUCUCAUCUCCCACACCUUCUUGAUGCUCUCAAGAAGGACCAUUUCAGGCUGACCCAAAGUUGGAUUAUUAAAGCUGAUUUUCA
Molecule: long non-coding RNA, 673 nt
Filed under: Vulpes vulpes (red fox)
Lineage: Eukaryota; Metazoa; Chordata; Mammalia; Carnivora; Canidae
Description: lncRNA (ENSVVUG00000025765.1)
Source: RNAcentral